Populus trichocarpa (black cottonwood) is the source of this 665-nucleotide long non-coding RNA. RefSeq lists it as uncharacterized. Lineage: Eukaryota; Viridiplantae; Streptophyta; Magnoliopsida; Malpighiales; Salicaceae. The record is from RefSeq and is a predicted model, not a curated record. The transcript has 2 exons.
GAACAUGGGGUUUGCAGAUCGUGAAGAAUUCUUCAAAGUUUGCUGUCAAGGAUUCUAUGGGAGUUAGACUUGGUUCUUGAAACACAUGGUCAUUGAAGUUUUAUGAAAUUAACUAAAGGCUGAACAUCUUUCUGUCUGGCGUAAGAUGUUGAAGUAGCCAGGUCAGCUGUCCUUUCAUACUUCAUUAUUCAUCUAUGUGAGCCUGCACACCUUCCAGCAAAGUAAAAGAAUUAGAGAAAUUGAUCACCUGAUGAGAGAAAGCAUAAGCCAGUGCUCUUUCCCUUCUCGUAGCGGCCUCAAACUUGUUUAGCAGGCUAGCUUCAAUCUGUUCCUUCGACUGUAGACUGUCAUCCCAUUCCUCUCCAAUCUGUUACAACAUCAGUACACUCAUUCUCAGCACAAGGGACAGGGACUGAAGCACUAGAGCUUCUAUGUUAGUUCAUCAGAUAAGAAAUAUGUGGCAGGGAUCCUAAACCAGGCACUUACAUGAAAACAUUGCAUGCCCUGCUAAAUGUCCAGAUAUGUAGUCAUUUGGAAAUCUAAAAUUUAGAAUGCAUAGGGUUCCAACAAUUUGGCGUUCGUUUACCAUUUAAAGAAAAAAAUUUCUAUCCAGUACCACUAGUUCUGUUCACAGCACUUUAUGAAUAUCAGUCUGUAUUCAACAA